CCUACGGGAGGCAGCAGUAGGGAAUCUUUCACAAUGGGCGAAAGCCUGAUGGAGCAACGCCGCGUGCAGGAUGAAGGCCUUCGGGUUGUAAACUGCUUUUAUAAGCGAGAAAUAUGAUGGUAACUUAUGAAUAAGGAUCGGCUAACUACGUGCCAGCAGCCGCGGUCAUACGUAGGAUCCGAGCAUUAUCCGGAGUGACUGGGUGUAAAGAGUUGCGUAGGUGGCAUAAUAAGUAGCUAGUGAAAUCUGGUGGCUCAACCAUUCAGACUAUUAGCUAAACUGUUAAGCUCGAGACCGUUAGGGGUAACUGGAAUUUCUAGUGUAGGAGUGAAAUCCGUAGAUAGUAGAAGGAACACCAAUAGCGUAGGCAGGUUGCUGGGACGGUUCUGACACUAAGGCACGAAAGCGUAGGGAGCAAACGGGAUUAGAUGCCCCGGUAGUC
RNAcentral lists this ribosomal RNA (442 nucleotides) under uncultured bacterium. RNAcentral describes it as "partial 16S ribosomal RNA". It matches the Rfam family "Bacterial small subunit ribosomal RNA", at positions 338 to 795 of the family's 1533-position model. The record is from RNAcentral.